RNAcentral lists this ribosomal RNA (495 nucleotides) under uncultured bacterium. Its description in RNAcentral is "partial 16S ribosomal RNA". It matches the Rfam family "Bacterial small subunit ribosomal RNA", at positions 30 to 507 of the family's 1533-position model. The record is from RNAcentral.
UGAACGCUGGCGGCGUGCCUAAUACAUGCAAGUCGAGCGAACAGACGAGGAGCUUGCUCCUCUGACGUUGGCGGCGGACGGGUGAGUAACACGUGGAUAACCUACCUAUAAGACUGGGAUAACUUCGGGAAACCGGAGCUAAUACCGGAUAAUAUAUUGAACCGCAUGGUUCAAUAGUGAAAGACGGUUUUGCUGUCACUUAUAGAUGGAUCCGCGCCGCAUUAGCUAGUUGGUAAGGUAACGGCUUACCAAGGCAACGAUGCGUAGCCGACCUGAGAGGGUGAUCGGCCACACUGGAACUGAGACACGGUCCAGACUCCUACGGGAGGCAGCAGUAGGGAAUCUUCCGCAAUGGGCGAAAGCUUGACGGAGCAACGCCGCGUGAGUGAUGAAGGUCUUCGGAUCGUAAAACUCUGUUAUUAGGGAAGAACAAAUGUGUAAGUAACUAUGCACGUCUUGACGGUACCUAAUCAGAAAGCCACGGCUAACUACGUG